GGGGUCUUAGCAUAAUCCGGUAGUGCGGCUGGCUCCAGACCAGCUGAUGGGGGUUCAAAUCCCUCAGACCCCA
RNAcentral lists this transfer RNA (73 nucleotides) under Patescibacteria group bacterium. RNAcentral describes it as "tRNA-Trp". It matches the Rfam family "tRNA". From Rfam's summary of the family: Transfer RNA (tRNA) molecules are approximately 80 nucleotides in length. Their secondary structure includes four short double-helical elements and three loops (D, anti-codon, and T loops). The record is from RNAcentral. RNAcentral also lists the same sequence under 1 other name.